UAUAGGUGAAACCCCUAUAUAUCUCU
RNAcentral lists this transfer RNA (26 nucleotides) under Canis lupus familiaris (dog). Its description in RNAcentral is "partial tRNA-Asp". The record is from RNAcentral. Lineage: Eukaryota; Metazoa; Chordata; Mammalia; Carnivora; Canidae.